RNAcentral lists this long non-coding RNA (1021 nucleotides) under Nicotiana benthamiana. RNAcentral's name for it is "long non-coding RNA (NBEN_LNC036816)". The record is from RNAcentral. Lineage: Eukaryota; Viridiplantae; Streptophyta; Magnoliopsida; Solanales; Solanaceae.
UGGUCUCUCUUCGCUCCCCACCCCGAAACUGACCCACGGCACAGCGCCCAUUCGCUUCGCGCGCGGGAAGGCAACGAAGUUCAGUUCAUGAGACCGCAGCGCAGCGGAGUGGAGCAGCCGCGACACGAAGUUCCUUACCUUAGCUGGAUCUCGCUGGUGCCACCUAAACGGUAGGUAGGCGGCGGAUGUGUGACGUUUGGAGUUGUCGUUCGUGCACCUGUCCCCAAUGGAAGAAUGAGUGAUCUGUUCCCCUGCGGAUCAUGGCCUUACCACUCGGUCCCCGAUGGCCAGCGGGGGAUUCGGUAUAGCAGCUCAGGUUCGUUUGCACUAAAGAAAAAGCAAUUCUUCAUUCAAUCUCUGUUCCAAAUUCUGGUCUUACCAAGUCACCUUUCUCUAAGGCUAAAUAGCUAAAUAUCCCCUGCAAGCUAACUAAUGGCAAGGGCCGGAGAUAGAGAGUGAUGAAGGGGGAAGAGAAGCUGAGAAUUGCCUCUUAUUCGUACUCGCUCGCCUAUGAACGAGUCGUGCAUCUGAAUAAACUUCUAAGCAUUCAACUUGUCUCUCUUCAAAAGCGGAUCUCUCCCCAUCUCCCUUUUACUGUAUAUGGUCGAGCUGGCUUGGCUGGUACAUCAAGCAUAUCGGCAUAUUACUUGUUCGGUGUGGUACACAUAUCUUUCAAUGUAAAUCAAGUAAGAGAAUUCAUUCCCACUGUCUGAGGAAAACGUGAAGAAUUGCCAUUUUAUGAGCUUGUAAGGCCCGUUGCGUUGAAGUCCCCGAAUAAAGAGGCUAUACUAAGUCGGUGGGGCAUUGGGCAGCCCCUAUUGCCCAAGGGCAAGGCCACGCUAGGCCAUUCUAGAACCUUCUAUAGAAUGCUAGCUUCUUGUAGCUUGUAUGGCAGCCCCUUUGGCCGACCUAGGCAGCUUCCUAGGACUCUCUAGAGUCCUCUAAGAUGCCACCACUCCUUUGUGCUUCCAUGGAGCUUCCACCAACUCCUAGAUCACUCCGGAACCUUCUAGAACCUUCC